Molecule: long non-coding RNA, 2782 nt
Filed under: Homo sapiens (human)
Lineage: Eukaryota; Metazoa; Chordata; Mammalia; Primates; Hominidae
Description: HSALNT0228398
Source: RNAcentral
UGGGAUUACAGGUGUGAGCCACCACACCCAGCCUACAACCACAAUUCUUUGAGAGUAAAUUCUGUGUACUCCCCCUACGCUAGCAACCAGCCCCAGAAGGGCAGGCUGACAUCCUCAUGGUCCCUGCUGAUCUGGAGUUGGGGGGAUGUUACGUGAGCAAGCAAAAACGCCAUCAAUCACACUCUCUUAUCACAGGAGAGCUUUCUUUCCUUCCUUUUUUUUGAGACGGACUUUUGCUUUCACCCAGGCUGGAGGGCAGUGCAAAUGAAUGAAUGAAUGAAUGCAACUAUUUUAUGUCAGGAAGGUUUGUGGGUUGCAGCCGCUACCAAUGUUGGAGACACCCAUUGCUUCAGAGUAUGCAAAGGACUUGAGUGUUGAAACACUUAAGUAAGAGGAAGCAGAAAUUAAUUCUUAAAUUCCUCUUCUCAGGGAGGCUGAAUGCAGCAGAUUCUUGUAUAACAAGUAUCAUUUCUCAGAAGUGCUGAGAGUCCAUUUAUCUGUUUCUCCUCAUGUUCCAAAUUGUGCCUCCAGACAUACUCAUGAGUUAGAGAGUAAUAUGGGUCAGGCGUGUUAGUUCAUGCCUACAAUCCCAGAACUUUGGGAGACUGAGGCAGGAGGAUCACUUGUGGCUGACCAGCCUGGGCAACAUAAUGAGACCCUGUCUCUACAAAAAAAAUUAAAACUUUGUUUAAAUAAAAAUAAUAAAAAUUUUUAAAAGAGACCAAUAUGGCUACUCACUGUAGCUGAGGAACAUUUAGCCAUUUAAACAAUUUGUAUCACUCUCUAAUUUGUAUAUAAGAUCGAGACACAAAAUGUAUGUUGUACUAUCAGUCCUUUAGAUGAGCAAUUAGACUGACAUUGAACACUAGAACUGGGAAAAGUUAUUUAAUAAUAAUAUGCAAUAAGAUUUAAGUUUUCAAAAUAUUAAAUAUAAAUUUUUCAGCUUUUAUUUUUUAUUUUUCAUUUUCAUGUUUUUUGAGACAGUAUCUCACUCUGUCGCCCAGGCUGGAGUGCAUUGGUGCGAUCGCACCUCACUGAACCCUCAACCUCUCCAGGCUCAGGUGAUCCUCCCACCUCAGUGGAGUAUCUGGGACUACAGGUGUGUACCUCUAUGCUUGGCUAAUUUUUGUAUUUUUUUUUUCAGCUUUAAGCAAUUUUUAUUUAAAGCUUUGUAAAAAUAUAAAAAUUAGCCAAGCGCGGUGGUGAGCACCUGUAGUCCUAGUCUCCCGAGUAGCUCGGAUUACAGGCGCCUGCCACCCCACCCUGCUAAUUUUUGUAGUUUUAGUAGAGACAAGGUUUCACCAUAUUGGCCAGGCUGGUCUGGAACUCUUGACCUCAGGUGAUCCACCCGCCUCGGCCUAAAAAAAAAAUUAAAAAUAAAUUAGGAGGAUCAGUAGUGCCGUUCCCAAUUAUCUCAUAAUUUCCACCAUUUUAAAGAGACAACCCUCACAUCUCCCAGGUUCAAAAUAUCCUAAAGUAUCUUCAACCUGGGUUGAGUCAGGUGCCCCACCCCGGGACUAAACGCAUGUGUCAGAGGGUUUGGGGUGGGGGUGAGUAUUUAAGAACCAUGUGGCUGGGCACAAUGGCUCACACCUAUAAUCCCAGCACUUUGGAAGGUAGAGGCAGGAGAAUUGCUUGAGCCCAGGAGUUUGAGACCAGCCUAGGCAAAAUAGUGAGGUCCCAUCUCCACAAAAAAUAAAAAAUUAGCUAGGUGUGGUGGUACAUGCCUGUAGUCCCAGCUACUGGGGAGAGUGAGGCAGGAGGAUCACUUGAACCCAGGAGGUCGAUUUGCACUCCAGCCUGGGUGACAGAGUGAGACCCUGUCUGGGAAAAACAAAAACAUGUGGAGGGAGGGGGAUACAGGCCGGUCAUGGAAGACAGGCAUGUUGACAGCAGAGGGUGCUACAGAUAAUCUCUUGACAUCCCCUAACUGACAAAGAGAAGGCUAAUCCCUUUUAUUACUCUAGAUCUCAUUCUUUUCUAUUCUGCCACUGAAUAAGCCCUUACUAAAUAUCAGAGGUUGCUCUAAGCAUUUGUAUCAGUCAAGAUACGUUAGGUUAUAAAAACGCCAAAUUGCAGUUGCUUAAUUCACAAAAGCGUCAUUUCUUGCUCUUGCUACACACCCAUUGCUGGGUGGCUGGAUCUCUGCAUUGUCACCCUCACUCCUGUGCCAGGCAAAUGAAGCAGCCGCUCUUGGGCAUAAUCGCCCAUCACCAUGGCGGAAAGAAAGAGGAGCCAUAUCCACUCUGAUGAUAGUUUCUUUUGCUGUGCAGAAGCUCUUUAGUUUAAUUAGAUCCCAUUUGUCAAUUUUGGCUUUUGUUGCCAUUGCUUUUGGUGUUUUAGACAUGAAGUCCUUGCCCAUCCCUAUGUCCUGAAUGGUAAUGCCUAGGUUUUCUUCUAGGGUUUUUAUGGUUUCAGGUCUAACAUUUAAGUCUUUAAUCCAUCUUGAAUUAAUUUUUGUAUAAGGUGUAAGGAAGGGAUCCAGUUUCAGCUUUCUACACAUGGCUAGCCAGUUUUCCCAGCACCAUGUAUUAAAUAGGGAAUCCUUUCCCCAUUUCUUGUUUUUGUCAGGUUUGUCAAAGAUCUGAUGGUUGUAGAUAUGCGGCAUUAUUUCUGAGGGCUCUGUUCUGUUCCACUGGUCUAUAUCUCUGUUUUGGUACCAGUACCAUGCUGUUUUGGUGACUGUAGCCUUGUAGUAUAGUUUGAAGUCAGGCAGUGUGAUGCCUCCAGCUUUGUUCUUUUGGCUUAGGAUUGACUUGGCAAUGCGGGCUCUUUUUUGGUU